This 759-nucleotide ribosomal RNA is filed under the name Vibrio parahaemolyticus. Its description in RNAcentral is "partial 23S ribosomal RNA". It matches the Rfam family "Bacterial large subunit ribosomal RNA", at positions 2190 to 2925 of the family's 2925-position model. The record is from RNAcentral. Lineage: Bacteria; Pseudomonadati; Pseudomonadota; Gammaproteobacteria; Vibrionales; Vibrionaceae.
CCUUGAAAUACCACCCUUGUAGUGUUGAUGUUCUAACGUUGACCCCUUAUCGGGGUUGCGGACAGUGCCUGGUGGGUAGUUUGACUGGGGCGGUCUCCUCCCAAAGAGUAACGGAGGAGCACGAAGGUGGGCUAAUCACGGUUGGACAUCGUGAGGUUAGUGCAAUGGCAUAAGCCCGCUUGACUGCGAGAAUGACAAUUCGAGCAGGUGCGAAAGCAGGUCAUAGUGAUCCGGUGGUUCUGAAUGGAAGGGCCAUCGCUCAACGGAUAAAAGGUACUCCGGGGAUAACAGGCUGAUACCGCCCAAGAGUUCAUAUCGACGGCGGUGUUUGGCACCUCGAUGUCGGCUCAUCACAUCCUGGGGCUGAAGUCGGUCCCAAGGGUAUGGCUGUUCGCCAUUUAAAGUGGUACGCGAGCUGGGUUUAGAACGUCGUGAGACAGUUCGGUCCCUAUCUGCCGUGGGCGUUGGAAGAUUGAAGGGGGCUGCUCCUAGUACGAGAGGACCGGAGUGGACGAACCUCUGGUGUUCGGGUUGUGUCGCCAGACGCAUUGCCCGGUAGCUAAGUUCGGAAUCGAUAACCGCUGAAAGCAUCUAAGCGGGAAGCGAGCCCUGAGAUGAGUCUUCCCUGAUACUUUAAGUAUCCUAAAGGGUUGUCGGAGACUACGACGUUGAUAGGUCAGGUGUGUAAGUGCUGUGAGGCAUUGAGCUAACUGAUACUAAUUGCCCGUGAGGCUUAACCAUACAACACCCAAGGGGUUU